Molecule: non-coding RNA, 153 nt
Filed under: Desulfotomaculum sp.
Lineage: Bacteria; Bacillati; Bacillota; Clostridia; Eubacteriales; Desulfotomaculaceae
Also listed under: 1 other name
Description: MoCo sequence
Rfam family: Molybdenum/Tungsten riboswitch aptamer (Moco RNA motif)
Source: RNAcentral
AAGCGGAGAACAUUCCGAGCCGGAACACCUAACGGGUCACAGGCCCCACGGUGACCGCGCCGGGGUCGCGCGCCGGAUUACGCGUUGACCCAAAGGGUGCGUUGGAAAACCGACGCGCCUCCCGAUUUGGAAAGGAAGGAUGAAAAUGAAAAA